This is a long non-coding RNA of Siniperca chuatsi (mandarin fish), 1636 nucleotides long. RefSeq lists it as uncharacterized. The transcript has 3 exons. NCBI's taxonomy places the organism in Eukaryota, Metazoa, Chordata, Actinopteri, Centrarchiformes, Sinipercidae. The record is from RefSeq and is a predicted model, not a curated record.
CUGCGAGUCAAGGUUAAAAAACAUAUUUGCCACAGCCGGUCCACGGCAGAGGACGACAGGAUGGGGGAACGGGAUAAAGCAAUGGAAGAUGGAAGGGAGGAAGGAGGACAAAGAGGAAGGAGAAGAGAAAGGCUUCACGUUCACACCUAUGGACUCAAACACUGGAGGAAUUGAACCUCGAAAUGACAACCUGGCCCCUGCGGCGUGACUCGGGGAAGUUGAGACAGAUCCAGCUUUAUGCAAAUGACCUCUGACACAUGGGAUUGACUACCAAUUGUAAUAGUUUUGAUUCUCUCUAGAAACAGAAGCACAGUUGUUUUCUACUCAAACUCGACUUGACGUGACGUACCUUCUUCAAACAAAAUGGAGGCUACAGAUAGUGGGGAGCAGCAGCAGUGUCUCAUGGCUGCAGAAGCAGAGCAGCGGCAGCAGCCUGAUAUCAGCUCCUGUUGAGUCUGAUUACAACCAGCCAGAGAGGAGAAAAAACUAAUCAUGAAAAGAGAGAGAGAGUGUCAGACAGAAGGGAACGAAAUCCAACAGAAAGACAGUCUGGGAAUGUGUGUGAGCAUCAGAGAGAAAACAAAAGAGUGAGUGUCAUCAGCAAAGGGCGAAAAGGAACUGUAAAAGAGGAGGGAGAGAAAGACAAAAGACAGAAUCAAUCAGUGCACUUACAUGUACUUUAGUUAACUGUGUUACUAUCAGCUUUCUGCAGUAAUCUGAUUUCUUAAACAGUGUAAACAAAAAACCUGGUUUCCAUAAUUGGGGUAGGCGAUUAGAGAAACCUGAUUACUUCUGCUGGAGAACAGACUUCAGAUAGGGAAAGUAUCACUAUGACAGCAGAGCGACUAUCGUUACAUGUAGCGAAGUUUCAAAAUAAUUUAAUUCAAAGUCUGACUAAAAUAAGGUUGCGGAAAGGGGAGAAAUCUGAUUACUGACUGUUGCAUGUAUACCAUACAUGGUUUUUAUAGUUGGACACAAUAAACAAGUUACUCUAUAGCCCCACAGCCGUCUCACAGAUCCUGAGGCGUUCAUAAAAUUUGUUACAGGGAGAAAGUUGAAAAUACAAACUGCAAAUAAACACAAGGGGGAAGAAAAAAAAUACAAACUCACCAGAUGGUACGCAAUCUUCCUAGGAACUUGGACACAAGUAACAAAAAACAUGAUGAAAAGAAAGAAAAGGUCUAUUCCAAUAAAGUCAAUGCAAACCAUUUUAAAUCAAAGAUGACUCUAGAGUGCUCUGGAGUGCUCAGUGCAGAGGCUACAACUAGUGAUUAAAACAAUUUGGGCACCAGUGGCAGCACUGAGCGCUCUGCUGCAGAGCAGUACUCCAGUUGGUGAGCAAGAAAGAAAACCUGCACCAUAUUUGAUUUAACAAGGUUUGCAUUGACGCUAAAGGGAAAUACUUCUGUCUGUCAGCAUAAAUGUUUAUUGUUCCUUUACACUAGCUUGAAGUUUUUCAAAUAUAUAUUUUUGCCACUUGGGGGCAGCACAACAAGCUGUUAACAAAACACUGACAUAUUGAUACCUUAUUAAGUUAUUAUGGUGAAAGUGUUAGCACACAACUGCCUAGUUACAUAUCUACCAGAUACAGAGCAACAUUAGCAUUCAUUUGAAGUCAUGUCAAGUCUGAUAUUUA